This 406-nucleotide ribosomal RNA is filed under the name uncultured bacterium. RNAcentral describes it as "partial 16S ribosomal RNA". It matches the Rfam family "Bacterial small subunit ribosomal RNA", at positions 30 to 526 of the family's 1533-position model. The record is from RNAcentral.
AUUGAACGCUGGCGGCAGGCCUAACACAUGCAAGUCGAACGAGUGGCGGACGGGUGAGUAAUGUCUGGGAAACUGCCUGAUGGAGGGGGAUAACUACUGGAAACGGUAGCUAAUACCGCAUACCAUCGGAUGUGCCCAGAUGGGAUUAGCUAGUAGGUGGGGUAAAGGCUCACCUAGGCGACGAUCCCUAGCUGGUCUGAGAGGAUGACCAGCCAAAAUGGAACUGGGACACGGUGCAGACUCCUACGGAAGGCAGCAGGGGGGAAGAUUGCACAAUGGGCGCAAGCCUGAUGCAGCCAUGCCGCGUGUAUUAAGAAGGCCUUCGAGUUGUAAAGUACUUUCAGCGGGGAGGCGUUACCCGCAGAAGAAGCACCGGCUAACACCGUGCCAGCAGCCGCGAUAAUAC